GUCCACGCCCUAAACGAUGGGCACUAAGUGUGGGAGGUAUCGACCCCUCCCGUGCCGCACCUAACGGAGUAAGUGCCCCGCCUGGGGAGUACGGCCGCAAGGUUGAAACUCAAAGGAAUUGACGGGGUCCCGCACAAGCGGUGGAGCAUGUGGUUUAAUUCGACGCAACGCGAAGAACCUUACCCAGGCUUGACAUGUAGGUAGUAGGAACCUGAAAGGGAGACGACCCCGCAAGGGGAGCCUGCACAGGUGCUGCAUUGCUGUCGU
RNAcentral lists this ribosomal RNA (267 nucleotides) under uncultured bacterium. RNAcentral's name for it is "partial 16S ribosomal RNA". It matches the Rfam family "Bacterial small subunit ribosomal RNA", at positions 793 to 1055 of the family's 1533-position model. The record is from RNAcentral.